AGAGUUUGAUCCUGGCUCAGAUCGAACGCUGGCGGUAUGCUUAACACAUGCAAGUCGAACGGAAACGAUACUAGCUUGCUAGUAGGCGUCGAGUGGCGGACGGGUGAGUAACGCGUAGGAAUCUACCUAAUAGUGGGGGAUAGCCCGGAGAAAUCCGGAUUAAUACCGCAUAAUCUCUAUGGAGUAAAGGGGCCCUCUUCUUGAAAGGUUUCGCUAUCAGAUGAGCCUGCGUAAGAUUAGCUAGUUGGUGAGGUAAAAGCUCACCAAGGCGACGAUCUUUAGCUGGUCUGAGAGGAUGAUCAGCCACACUGGGACUGAGACACGGCCCAGACUCCUACGGGAGGCAGCAGUGGGGAAUAUUGGACAAUGGGGGCAACCCUGAUCCAGCAAUACCGCGUGUGUGAAGAAGGCCUGAGGGUUGUAAAGCACUUUCAAUUGUGAAGAAAAGUUA
Molecule: ribosomal RNA, 451 nt
Filed under: uncultured marine bacterium
Lineage: Bacteria
Description: bacterial SSU rRNA
Rfam family: Bacterial small subunit ribosomal RNA
Source: RNAcentral